Molecule: long non-coding RNA, 372 nt
Filed under: Ananas comosus (pineapple)
Lineage: Eukaryota; Viridiplantae; Streptophyta; Magnoliopsida; Poales; Bromeliaceae
Description: long non-coding RNA (ACOM_LNC000700)
Source: RNAcentral
CGGAUUAUUGGUGGGUUUAUGCACCAGAACAUACUUUUAGUGUCAAGGAAGAGUGCGUGGGUUGUCUAGUGCAGAUUGGCGAUUAGAUUAUGCCAGCGGACUUGCUUGUUUUGAACCAGAUGUGGGGUUUCGAUGUUAUCCUUGGAAUCGAUUAGCUCUCAAAGUAUUAUGCAGUAACAUAUUGAAACCCGAUAGCGAUUAUCGAACUUUACCCAAAAUUGGGUUAAAGCGCCGAGAGAAAUAGUUGGACAAGUUCCAAUUAGCUUUCCAACUAUGUUGGAAGGGUUAGAAAUGAGUUUAAGAGAGGUUAGAAAGGUUUUAGCAUCGACCGGCACGAAGUAGAGUCGAAUCGGAGCCAAAAUAGCAUUCUGG